Molecule: long non-coding RNA, 1764 nt
Organism: Homo sapiens (human)
Lineage: Eukaryota; Metazoa; Chordata; Mammalia; Primates; Hominidae
Product: long intergenic non-protein coding RNA 1697
Source: Ensembl
GAGAUUUGAUAGUUUUAAAAAUGUAAGUUUCUCUGCACAAGCUCUCUUUUUGCCUGCUGCCAUCCACGUAAGAUGUGACUUGCACCUCCUUGUCUUCUGCCACGAUUGUGAGGCUUCCCCAGCCAUGUGGAACUACAUCUACCCCUGGAGAAAGAGCCCAAUGAGAAGUAAUCUCUGAAGCCCAGAUUUCCUAAGGAUGAAGCUUCAGGAGAGGCCUUAUCAAUCCUGACAACAAACUUUUCUCGUCAAUUUAGUUUCAUUUAAUGGAAGUUUUAAAUGUGUAAAGUUCAGAAGGCUAUUAAAAUUGGUUCCAGCUAUCUAAGAUACACACACAACCACACACGCGCACACACGAAUACAAAUAUGCCUUCCCAAUCAUCUCCCAAAGUCUCAACUCAUUCCAGCGUUAACUCAAAGACCAAAAUUCAAAGUCUCAUCUGAAACAAGGUGUUGCCAAAGGAGAUUAUUAUUUGAGUCAGAGGACUGGGAGAAGCAGACCUACCCUCGAUCUGGGUGGGUGUCAUCUAGUCAGCUGCCAGUGUGGCUAGAAUGAAGCAGGCAGAAGUUGGAAAGAGCAGACCUGCUGAGUCUUCUGGCCCUCACCGUUCUCCCGUGCUGGAUUCUUCUGGCCCUCAAACAUCAGACUCCACGUUCUUCAGCUUUUGGACUCAUGGACUUACACCAGUGGUGUGCCAGGGCCUCUUGAGCCUUUGGUCACAGACUGAAGGCUACACUGUCAGCUUCUCUAAUUUUGAGGUUUUGGGACUCAGACUGAUCCACCACUGGCUUCCUUGCUCCUCAACUUGCAGAUGGCUUCUCACGGGACUUGACUUUAUGAUCAUACUUGGCCAAUAAGAUGUUCCUGCCUAAGACUUUGAAUCUGGAAUGGGGAACACAGAGAACAUGAGCAACGAAGAAUUAUUCACAGCACAGCACAGCAGUGCUGACAGCAUCGACAGUCCUGUGGUGCCAGCAAGAAUCCAAAAGAAGUGUCCUACAUAAAUUCCCUUAAUCACUGACCAUUUAAUGAGGCUGAUUCAGCCUCAUACAAAUUUUGUAUGCUUCUUCAUACAAUUUUUAAUUGUGCUGUAAAAGUUAACCAGAGACAAUUUCUGUUGCUUGCACACAGUAAGUUGACUAAGCAAAAAAAUUCAGGAGAGAUUAUUUUAUAGAAGUCAAUGCAAAUGCAUUAAUUUACAAGAAGUGAAACUGCAAGUUCACUUUGCUGCCUUAUGGCCAGCAUAUUCUCUUACAAGGGAAGUCUAUAUGGCAAUCUGUGUUAUGAUCAGAAGAUUUGGGAAAGAUGGAAUCUGUGAGAGAGUUUUAUGACACACGGUUACAACUGAUCACAGGAUCAAACACUAAAACUCCAAUAUAUAUAUUUAUUCUUAUUAGCAAAGCUUUUAUGCUAUGGAGGAAAAAGAAAAAGAAAUAAGAAAUUCUGAGUUUCUCUAAACUUCCAGUAUGUGGAUGAGUUAAAAACUAUGUCAUCUUGGAUUCCCCAUUUUAAAUAUUUCAUAAUAAUGCAUUAUAAUUGGUACAUGUUAAUAUCAAUUUUUUCUUUUGCUGUUUUUGAAGUGGUGUGAAUCACCUGUAACAAGGUUUCCUUAUCAUCCAUUUAAUUAUUGUCCUAUAAUAUACUUUUCAAUACAGCAACUACUUUUUAUGUUUUGGGAUUACUUUUACUAUUGUUAGAUAAAACCUAUGGUUGAUUGUGUGCCUCUAGAAGAACUUCAAAAGUACAAUAUAAAUCUUGCUAACAAU